Morus notabilis is the source of this 257-nucleotide long non-coding RNA. RefSeq lists it as uncharacterized. The transcript has 3 exons. Lineage: Eukaryota; Viridiplantae; Streptophyta; Magnoliopsida; Rosales; Moraceae. The record is from RefSeq and is a predicted model, not a curated record.
AUUAUAGUGCUACUUAUGAGGGCUGUUAUCAACUUUUUUCUCCAGAUAAGCGAAGAUGCUAAAUUAGGGAUCUAUGUUGAAAAUCUCACAGAGUGUUUACGUACAAUGUCAGAUGUAAAGCAGCUUUUAAUGAAGCACUCUGACCAGCAUUCACCAAAAGUACGCCAUCUACUUCUUAGCAGGAGAGGAUUGGUGGGAUUGCUGGUAUCGAAUUUGAGUUGGUACUUUUCAAGUUGAGUGAGAAAAGUGUGGUGAGG